CUUCUCUGCAGCUAUCUGCUUGGGAACGGCUGUUUUUCUUGCCAUCCUGCACUACCCUGUGCUGAACAGCAAAUUCAAACCCCUCUGCAACUCUUGCUUUUCAAACUGCUUUGUUUCUGUGCAGAAGAGGCAGGGUGGCUGCCCUGAGCAGCAUGCUUGCAGCACUUCAGUGAGGACUCACACCUGCUCCCUCCUGACUACAAGGCUGCAGCUCUGCAAAGCUGGCUGGGUAAUGUGGCAUCAGAAGAUGCUCCAGAUGCGCAGAGCUCACGGGAGCCCCGAUGACAUGGGAACACAAAUAUCUGCGGCUGCCGCCUCGCACACAAAGUGGUGACUCACAGGUGAAGUCGCCCCAGCUUUGCUGAGGAGGACAGAGAGGGCUGAGGUCUCCAGGGUCCACGGUAACUCCUGAAGGUGGUGGUGUGGCCAGAGGCAGGCCUGCAUCCCGUAUCCUUUCUGUCUUUCAGGUGACAACGAGGAGUGGUGCUGGGAUGCUGGAGAAAUAUAUUCUCUGCAACUCGCUGCAGCUCUGAAAGGCCCAGUGCUGUUCUUUUGUGGAUAACUUGUUUGAAUGCAGACCAUACCCCUGUCUUCUGUGGGAAGGUUGCUUGAACUGGUCAGCCUUCCCUGUGGAGGUCUGGAGAAUCCUGCCCUAUGUCCUCUGCUAUGUCUGUAGAGGUCCUUGCACGAGAUGUAUGUGGAUGGUAGCCCCAUGCCACGCCGGUGAUGCAGCCCUCCUGCCUGAUGGAGAUAUUAAGUCAUCUUGGAUGGGUCUGCGCAUGGGAGGAGUUCCCAUGGUGACAGACAGCAAUUCACCCUGACAGGGCAGGGUGGAUGUUUUGUCCUUUUUAUUCUUUUCUUCUGGAGUCAGGCACCCAGCCAAAGAGCUGAAGGAGCAACGGCACAGCCUCUCGGGGGAGAGUGUUGAUGACAAGUCUGGACUCGUUAACUGUACAAAUCCCUCUGGAGAACAAUUCCCCGUGCCCAGGCUGCAGCCCCGUGGGCAGUGGUGCUCCUGCUCCCUUCUCCUCCAGCAGCCUCUGGCCCUCCAGGCAUGGGGCUGCCUGGCUUUCUCUCCGCCACAUCAGCCAGGCACUACCUGGCACUGGCCAGAGUUUUGUCGUCCUUCCCGUGGAGCGUGGCUGCGGUGUGAAAUGCCCGCUGCAGCUGGGAUUGUUGCUGUGGCUCCUCUCUCCCUAGCAUACUAGCGUAACGCCGGUACGGGAAAGCACGACGGCGUCCUGCCUGUAACGGAGCUUGUGUCAUUUCACAGAACCCAAGACGUGGUCUAGCAAAUGC
Rhea pennata is the source of this 1299-nucleotide long non-coding RNA. RefSeq lists it as uncharacterized. The transcript has 2 exons. Lineage: Eukaryota; Metazoa; Chordata; Aves; Rheiformes; Rheidae. The record is from RefSeq and is a predicted model, not a curated record.